UACGUAGGGACCGAGCGUUGUCCGGAUUCAUUGGGCGUAAAGCGCGUGUAGGCGGCCAGGUAAGUCCGUUCUGAAAGCCCGGGGCUCAACCCCGGGAGGCGGAUGGAUACUGCUUGGCUCGAGUCCGGAAGAGGCGAGUGGAAUUCCUGGUGUAGCGGUGGAAUGCGCAGAUAUCAGGAGGAACACCGGUGGCGAAGGCGGGAUCCUGGGCCAGUACUGACGCUGAGGAGCGAAAGCGUGGGGAGCAAACAGG
This 253-nucleotide ribosomal RNA is filed under the name uncultured bacterium. RNAcentral describes it as "partial 16S ribosomal RNA". It matches the Rfam family "Bacterial small subunit ribosomal RNA", at positions 524 to 776 of the family's 1533-position model. The record is from RNAcentral.